This 600-nucleotide ribosomal RNA is filed under the name Irpex lacteus. RNAcentral describes it as "partial large subunit ribosomal RNA". It matches the Rfam family "Eukaryotic large subunit ribosomal RNA", at positions 49 to 655 of the family's 3401-position model. Lineage: Eukaryota; Fungi; Basidiomycota; Agaricomycetes; Polyporales; Irpicaceae. The record is from RNAcentral.
AUCGGAGGAAAAGAAACUAACAAGGAUUCCCCUAGUAACUGCGAGUGAAGCGGGAAAAGCUCAAAUUUAAAAUCUGGCGGCUUUGGUCGUCCGAGUUGUAUUCUAGAGAAGUGUUUUCCGCGUUGGACCGUGUAUAAGUCUCUUGGAAUAGAGCGUCAUAGAGGGUGAGAAUCCCGUCUUUGACACGGACUACCAAUGCUUUGUGAUACACUCUCAAAGAGUCGAGUUGUUUGGGAAUGCAGCUCAAAAUGGGUGGUAAAUUCCAUCUAAAGCUAAAUAUUGGCGAGAGACCGAUAGCGAACAAGUACCGUGAGGGAAAGAUGAAAAGCACUUUGGAAAGAGAGUUAAACAGUACGUGAAAUUGCUGAAAGGGAAACGCUUGAAGUCAGUCGCGUUAGCUAGAACUCAACCAGGCUUGCUUGGCGUAUUUUCUAGUUAACGGGCCAGCAUCAGUUUUGACCGCAGGAAAAGGGCCAGGGAAAUGUGGCAUCUUCGGAUGUGUUAUAGUCUCUGGUCGUAUACUGUGAUUGGGACUGAGGACCGCAGCACGCGCAAGCUGUGCUUAGGAUGCUGGCGUAAUGGCUUUAAACGACCCGUCUG